This is a non-coding RNA of Caenorhabditis elegans, 21 nucleotides long. Lineage: Eukaryota; Metazoa; Nematoda; Chromadorea; Rhabditida; Rhabditidae. The record is from Ensembl.
UCACAUCAAAAAUUUUGUACA